CCAUACUUCUUGCUCCGGCAGCACUGUAGAGGGAAUCAAUGGGAGCAUUGCUUGAGCAAGGCGUGCAGGAUCAGACUCACUGAGUGUCAGGCUUGAGAGCCCUGAAAUACCUAGGCAAACAGGAUGGAUCUCUGAAGUCAUUCCAUACAUACUGAGUCAUUCAGAUUGUGUCCUCUACCUCUCCACCAAAGUGAUCUGCCACAUCUUUCAACCUUGAGCAAGUCACUCAUCAGUUUCCCCAGCUGAAAAAAAAAAUGGAGAUAAAUCUUUGCUGCUUCACUGGGUGUUUUGUGAGGCAUAAUUCAUUAAGGGGGCAGUGAUGAGUUCAUCUGACUCUCUCCCAUCAAGACUGAAAAUUCUUUUCAAUUAAAAACUCAUCUCCACAGAUGGUACUGGCAUUAAGAGCACCCCAUCUUGUCUACAACAACAAAUAUUGAGAUAUUUCAGGAAUUACCCUAUAAAUCACUGGACAUGGAAUGGUCUGCGGGAUUUCAAAUAAAAAAAAAAAA
Mauremys mutica (yellowpond turtle) is the source of this 509-nucleotide long non-coding RNA. RefSeq lists it as uncharacterized. Lineage: Eukaryota; Metazoa; Chordata; Testudines; Geoemydidae. The transcript is spliced from 4 exons. The record is from RefSeq and is a predicted model, not a curated record.